RNAcentral lists this ribosomal RNA (651 nucleotides) under Rhizopus delemar. Its description in RNAcentral is "partial large subunit ribosomal RNA". It matches the Rfam family "Eukaryotic large subunit ribosomal RNA", at positions 86 to 668 of the family's 3401-position model. Lineage: Eukaryota; Fungi; Mucoromycota; Mucoromycetes; Mucorales; Rhizopodaceae. The record is from RNAcentral.
ACGGCGAGUGANAGGAAGAGCUCAAAGUUGGAACCUGUUUGGCCUAGCUAAACCGGAUUGUAGACUGUAGAAGUGUUUUCCAGGCAAGCCGAGUAAAUAAGUCCUUUGGAACAGGGCAUCAUAGAGGGUGAGAAUCCCGUCUUUGGCUUGAGCAUUUGCCUUUUGUGAUACGCUUUCAAAGAGUCAGGUUGUUUGGGAAUGCAGCCUAAAUUGGGUGGUAAAUCUCACCUAAAGCUAAAUAUUGGCGAGAAACCGAUAGCGAACAAGUACCGUGAGGGAAAGAUGAAAAGAACUUUGAAAAGAGAGUUAAACAGUAUGUGAAAUUGUUAAAAGGGAACCGUUUGGAGCCAGACUGGCUUGUCUGUAAUCAAUCUAGGCUUCGGCCUGGAUGCACUUGCAGGCUAUGCCUGCCAACGACAAUUUGACUUGAGGGAAAAAACUAAGGGAAAUGUGGCCCACUUGUGGGUGUUAUAGUCCCUUAGAAAAUACCUUGGGUUGGAUUGAGGAACGCAGCGAAUGCUUUUUGGCGAGUUUUCCAGGAAGGUUUUCUGAGGUACUACGGUAUCAAGGUUGAUCUUUUUGGUUAUACUUCUAUUCGCUUAGGUUGUUGGCUUAAUGACUCUAAAUGACCCGUCUUGNANNNACGGACCA